Drosophila yakuba is the source of this 163-nucleotide long non-coding RNA. RefSeq lists it as uncharacterized. The record is from RefSeq and is a predicted model, not a curated record. The transcript is spliced from 2 exons. Lineage: Eukaryota; Metazoa; Arthropoda; Insecta; Diptera; Drosophilidae.
CACGUUUAAUAUAGAGUUUAUUUACAUCUUGAAACAAUAUGAGCUUCGCUAAUUUUCUUUACUUCAUUGCGAUUAUAGUUCAAGGAUGUAGGGCUCCGGCUUGUUUUAGCAGGAUGAAAUUAGAACCGGAUAAUUAAAUCUUACCUCAGUUGAUUUAGAUUUA